This 469-nucleotide ribosomal RNA is filed under the name uncultured bacterium. RNAcentral's name for it is "bacterial SSU rRNA". It matches the Rfam family "Bacterial small subunit ribosomal RNA", at positions 28 to 505 of the family's 1533-position model. The record is from RNAcentral.
GAUGAACGCUGGCGGCGUGCCUAAUGCAUGCAAGUCGAGCGACGCAUGCCGGAGGGGUAACCCACUGGCAUGACGGAGCGGCGAACGGGUGAGUAACACGUGAGCAACCUGCCCCGCAGAUCGGGAUAGCCCAGGGAAACCUGGAUUAAUACCGGAUACCCUCGAUUGGUCGCAUGACCGGACGAGGAAAUGCCUUUGUGCUGUGGGAUGGGCUCGCGGCUUAUCAGCUAGUUGGUGGGGUAACGGCCUACCAAGGCAUCGACGAGUAGCUGGUCUGAGAGGACGAUCAGCCACACUGGGACUGAGACACGGCCCAGACUCCUACGGGAGGCAGCAGCAGGGAAUCUUGCGCAAUGGGCGAAAGCCUGACGCAGCAACGCCGCGUGGGGGAUGAAGGCCUCGGGUUGUAAACCCCUUUCAGGAGGGAAGAAAUUGACGGUACCUCCAGAAGAAGCACCGGCCAACUACG